This 22-nucleotide microRNA is filed under the name Euprymna scolopes. RNAcentral describes it as "Esc-Mir-12543_5p (mature (guide))". The record is from RNAcentral. Lineage: Eukaryota; Metazoa; Mollusca; Cephalopoda; Sepiida; Sepiolidae.
UCUCCAACCAAUUUUCGGUACC